Molecule: transfer RNA, 63 nt
Filed under: Trimusculus reticulatus
Lineage: Eukaryota; Metazoa; Mollusca; Gastropoda; Ellobiida; Trimusculidae
Description: tRNA-Val
Source: RNAcentral
UGAGGUGAAGUAUCAAGUACAUUUUAGUUACAUUAAAAAAGCCCCAAAAUUUGGGCACCUUGA